RNAcentral lists this ribosomal RNA (466 nucleotides) under fungal sp. E15520E. RNAcentral's name for it is "eukaryotic LSU rRNA". The stretch from base 104 to 257 matches the Rfam family "5.8S ribosomal RNA". The record is from RNAcentral. Lineage: Eukaryota; Fungi.
GGGCCCGGGGGGCCCGUGUCUAGGCGGGCGCCUGCCGUGCGGCGCAAACCAAACUCUUUGUUACAUUGCAGUGGACCUCUGAGUUAAAAAAACAAUCAGUUAAAACUUUCAACAACGGAUCUCUUGGUUCUGGCAUCGAUGAAGAACGCAGCGAAAUGCGAUAAGUAAUGUGAAUUGCAGAAUUCAGUGAAUCAUCGAAUCUUUGAACGCACAUUGCGCCCGCUAGUAUUCUGGCGGGCAUGCCUGUUCGAGCGUCAUUUCAACCCCUCGGGCCCCCCUUUCGGGGCCCGGCGUCGGGGAGCACCGCCCGCGAGGGCGGCCCCCUAGAAGCAUUGGCGGACAGCCUGUGGAGUCCGAGCGCAGUAACACAUCUCUCGCUCGCGGACGAACGGGCGGCCCUGCCGUAAAAGCCCCAACUUUCUCAAGGUUGACCUCGGAUCAGGUAGGAAUACCCGCUGAACUUAAG